This 309-nucleotide ribosomal RNA is filed under the name uncultured eukaryote. RNAcentral describes it as "partial 18S ribosomal RNA". It matches the Rfam family "Eukaryotic small subunit ribosomal RNA", at positions 1470 to 1796 of the family's 1831-position model. The record is from RNAcentral.
CCCUUAGACAUUCUGGGCCGCACGCGUACUACACUGAUGAAUGCAAUAAGUUAACCUAACCCGAAAGGGGAUGGGUAAUCUUCUCAAAGUUCAUCGUGUUUGGGAUAGAUCUUUGUAAUUAUGGAUCUUGAACGAGGAAUUCCUAGUAAGCAUGUGUCAUCAACGCAUGUUGAUUACGUCCCUGCCCUUUGUACACACCGCCCGUCGCUCCUACCGAUUCGAGUGACUCGGCGAAUUCUCCGGACCUGCUCUCACGAGCUUGGAAAGUUGUGUAAGCCAUGUCACUUAGAGGAAGGAUAANGCGUAACA